This 1632-nucleotide ribosomal RNA is filed under the name Triticum aestivum (bread wheat). RNAcentral's name for it is "partial small subunit ribosomal RNA". Lineage: Eukaryota; Viridiplantae; Streptophyta; Magnoliopsida; Poales; Poaceae. The record is from RNAcentral.
AUGGAGCCUUCCCGUGCGUUUGGAUUUUCAGCCGUUGGAUUGCGCUUCCAAAUUGAUCCUGGCCGUUGGAUCGCGAGAUGGGGAGAUCCUGACCGUUGGAUCGCGAGAUGGGAGGUCCUGGCCGUUGGAUCAAUAGCAAACACUGCUUGCGCUCCGGCUCGUGCCACCGCCUGUAAUUCCCAGGCCCCACCGAGGGCAUUAUCGUCUUUUCUGACGCAGACAUAUAAAAGGCAGAAUGUUGAACUCUCCCUCCUUUCCCCACUUCUCUGUCGCCUCUACUCCCGUGGCCUUGGGCCAGCCGCCGCGCAACCUCUGCUCCUCCCCGGCGUCGAACUCAGGCCGCCGCUCCGUCCCCCGUCCCCUCCGCCCUCUAGUCCUCCCGCAGCCUCCGCCUCCGCCGCCGCUCCACGGAUGGGAGUUAAUCGGGGGAGCAGGAAGUCCCCGUCCCCGCGUAUGGGCCCCCGCCACCCACCACAAUGGCUCGACCGCCCAGCGACGAGCUGCCCUCCGGGGCCUGACCAGUUCGGCUCUCGUGGCUGGUGGACGCGCCCUUGCUGUUGCCGACGCGCGACGCCGGCUCGCUGUGCCGCACUGGCCCUCCCAAGCGUCUUCUGUCAAUGGACAUGCUCCUCCAUCUCCUCCGCUGGACGACAUCCAAUAUCGCUAGGGUUUAUUGCCACCUAUAAUCCUUCCAGCAUUAGGGACUGCUUAAUUGGUUCUGGACAAUACAACAAAAGAAAUGUGCAUAUUGUCCACAUCUGCAGGACCUUCACACUAAAGUCUCCUCAUGUUCUCAAGAUUAUUCAAGCAGUUGUUAAUUCAUCAAAGGCGGCUCCUGAGUAUACAUACCGUGUUUAUCUCGCCUGCCUUCUUAGGAAAAAUCCUAUACUCAAGAUGCAGUCUGACAGUAACUUCAUUUGCUCAGAUGCUCACGGUAUUGCAGAGAAUGGCUCAUUUUUCAGCCCAACUGUGACACAUAUCAUACCAGGCCAAAGUAUCAUUCGAAGGGGCGACAUACCCAAUUCUCGGAUUCCUCAAACAACAGAUGUAGUGUUAUAUCCGAGACAUGAACGAGGAAAAAAUGAGAAGGUCGUCCACUAUUGGCUCAAGCUCAGGAGGUGGUCGAAAGCCCGGCUCCACAUGGUUCUAGCACUACCGUCACACAUGGUGUUCGGGCCACUUCCACCAGUGCUCUGCGGGUUGUCGUUCCACAAGAGCAAUGACGGGGAGAACAAGAUGAUGAACGUCGCCGUUUUCCUUUUUUCUCAUCCGAAGAAAAGUACAAAUCUGGGUGUGGAUUGCUGCCUUGCAUUUCCAGCAGGCAAAGGUUCAGUUGGCUACAGGUUUUUUGGGUAUUCAGAUUUAUAUCAUUUGAUAGAUGCAAUAAGAGGCACUGCCUUCCGUGGUGACAAGCUUAAGCACUACAAGCACACAAUGGGGUAUUAUCUAAUGAGCUGUGGAGAUAGGAUCAAGCCCGGCCUAACGGGCGCUGCUCCUUCCUACCUCACCUCGUGUCCCAUUCAACUGAUCCCAAGUUGCAGGUAUGAAUAUCCAAGCAGGCUACUUAAUCUGUUUACUGAAGCAAGACAUGUUUAUAUAUGUCGAAGUUCUGUUGGAGAUUAUGGUGCAUAG